RNAcentral lists this ribosomal RNA (465 nucleotides) under Vreelandella stevensii. Its description in RNAcentral is "partial 16S ribosomal RNA". It matches the Rfam family "Bacterial small subunit ribosomal RNA", at positions 338 to 795 of the family's 1533-position model. Lineage: Bacteria; Pseudomonadati; Pseudomonadota; Gammaproteobacteria; Oceanospirillales; Halomonadaceae. The record is from RNAcentral.
CCUACGGGGGGCUGCAGUGGGGAAUAUUGGACAAUGGGCGAAAGCCUGAUCCAGCCAUGCCGCGUGUGUGAAGAAGGCCUUCGGGUUGUAAAGCACUUUCAGUGGGGAAGAAAGCCUUGGGGCUAAUACCCUCGAGGUAGGACAUCACCCACAGAAGAAGCACCGGCUAACUCCGUGCCAGCAGCCGCGGUAAUACGGAGGGUGCGAGCGUUAAUCGGAAUUACUGGGCGUAAAGCGCGCGUAGGCGGUCUGAUAAGCCGGUUGUGAAAGCCCCGGGCUCAACCUGGGAACGGCAUCCGGAACUGUCAGGCUAGAGUGCAGGAGAGGAAGGUAGAAUUCCCGGGGUAGCGGUGAAAUGCGUAGAGAUCGGGAGGAAUACCAGUGGCGAAGGCGGCCUUCUGGACUGACACUGACGCUGAGGUGCGAAAGCGUGGGUAGCAAACAGGAUUAGAUACCCUAGUAGUC